GGAUCUCUUAAAGCUGUUCUCAGUUCGGACUGCAGUCUGCAACUCGACUGCACGAAGCUGGAAUCGCUAGUAAUCGCGGAUCAGCACGCCGCGGUGAAUACGUUCCCGGGCCUUGUACACACCGCCCGUCACACCAUGGAAGUCUGCAAUGCCCGAAGCCGGUGGCCUAACCACUUAUGUGGAAGGAGCCGUCUAAGGCAGGGCAGAUGACUGGGGUGAAGUCGUAACAAGGUAAC
RNAcentral lists this ribosomal RNA (236 nucleotides) under uncultured bacterium. RNAcentral describes it as "partial 16S ribosomal RNA". It matches the Rfam family "Bacterial small subunit ribosomal RNA", at positions 1269 to 1500 of the family's 1533-position model. The record is from RNAcentral.